AUUGAACGCUGGCGGCAUGCCUUACACAUGCAAGUCGAACGGCAGCGGACCUUCGGGUGCCGGCGAGUGGCGAACGGGUGAGUAAUAUAUCGGAACGUACCUUUCAGUGGGGGAUAACGUAGCGAAAGUUACGCUAAUACCGCAUAUUCUGUGAGCAGGAAAGCAGGGGAUCGCAAGACCUUGCGCUGAUUGAGCGGCCGAUAUCAGAUUAGCUAGUUGGUGAGGUAAAGGCGUCACCAAGGCGACGAUCUGUAGCGGGUCUGAGAGGAUGAUCCGCCACACUGGAACUGAGACACGGUCCAGACUCCUACGGGAGGCGGCAGUGGGGAAUUUUGGACAAUGGGCGCAAGCCUGGAUCCAGCCAUGCCGCGUGAGUGAGAAGGCCUUAGGGUUGUAAAGCUCUUUUACCAGGGAUGAUAAUGACAGUACCUGGAGAAUAAGCUCCGGCUAACUCCGUGCCAGCAGCCGCGGUAUGUAGACGU
This 482-nucleotide ribosomal RNA is filed under the name uncultured bacterium. RNAcentral describes it as "bacterial SSU rRNA". It matches the Rfam family "Bacterial small subunit ribosomal RNA", at positions 30 to 528 of the family's 1533-position model. The record is from RNAcentral.